This 442-nucleotide long non-coding RNA is filed under the name Felis catus (domestic cat). RNAcentral's name for it is "lncRNA (ENSFCAG00000052428.1)". The record is from RNAcentral. Lineage: Eukaryota; Metazoa; Chordata; Mammalia; Carnivora; Felidae.
GAUCCAUUUCCCAGUUUGGGCAGGAAAACCUAUUUUCUUCCCCAAGACACCUAUCUUCACUUUUUCUUUUUAUUCUCCAAUAGGGGCCCUUGGAAGGUUAAAGCUCAAGUGGAACUUCUUUGAAAAAUAUCCACAGCCCUUACUGAAGUGCUCUGGAAUUUCUCUGCAGUCCUGGACUAACUAGCGUCAGGUAUUUCUGGAAAUCAGAAGACAGUUCCCAUAAAACCUGGAAAUUGGGAAAAUAUAGAGCCUAUAGAAUAUGAUACACAAUGUCACUAUAAUAUUUUAAAAGCAAAAUAUGGAUAAAGUGAACACUGACAACAGAAUUGAAUGGAGAAUGAGCUCAGAACAUAUAGCAGAGCCCCCUUCCACGACCACCACUAGCAUCUUGCAGAAUUGAAAGUCAGAACAAAGGGGUGAGAAGAGACCAACAGAACACAAG